GGGUGAUUAGUGGCGAACGGGUGAGUAACACGUGAGUAACCUGCCCCUGACUCUGGGAUAAGCCCGGGAAACUGGGUCUAAUACUGGAUAUGACCUUUAACCGCAUGGUUUUUGGUGGAAAGAUUUAUCGGUUGGGGAUGGACUCGCGGCCUAUCAGCUUGUUGGUGAGGUAAUGGCUCACCAAGGCGACGACGGGUAGCCGGCCUGAGAGGGUGACCGGCCACACUGGGACUGAGACACGGCCCAGACUCCUACGGGAGGCAGCAGUGGGGAAUAUUGCACAAUGGGCGAAAGCCUGAUGCAGCGACGCCGCGUGAGGGAUGACGGCCUUCGGGUUGUAAACCUCUUUCAGUAGGGAAGAAGCGAAAGUGACGGUACCUGCAGAAGAAGCGCCGGCUAACUACGUGCCAGCAGCCGCGGUAAUACGUAGGGCGCAAGCGUUAUCCGGAUUUAUUGGGCGUAAAGAGCUCGUAGGCGGUUUGUCGCGUCUGCCGUGAAAGUCCGAGGCUCAACCUCGGAUCUGCGGUGGGUACGGGCAGACUAGAGUGAUGUAGGGGAGACUGGAAUUCCUGGUGUAGCGGUGAAAUGCGCAGAUAUCAGGAGGAACACCGAUGGCGAAGGCAGGUCUCUGGGCAUCUACUGACGCUGAGGAGCGAAAGCAUGGGGAGCGAACAGGAUUAGAUACCCUGGUAGUCCAUGCCGUAAACGUUGGGCACUAGGUGUGGGGAACAUUCCACGUUUUCCGCGCCGUAGCUAACGCAUUAAGUGCCCCGCCUGGGGAGUACGGCCGCAAGGCUAAAACUCAAAAGGAAUUGACGGGGGCCCGCACAAGCGGCGGAGCAUGCGGAUUAAUUUCGAUGCAACGCGAANAACCCUUACCAAGGCUUGACAUGUUNCCAGACCCGCCUCAGAGAUGGGGNUUUCCCCUUUCGGGGCUGGUUUCNCAGGGUGGGUGCAUNGGUUNNUCNUUCANCUUCNUNUCCNUG
RNAcentral lists this ribosomal RNA (986 nucleotides) under Arthrobacter sp. SWS-2. RNAcentral's name for it is "bacterial SSU rRNA". It matches the Rfam family "Bacterial small subunit ribosomal RNA", at positions 86 to 1178 of the family's 1533-position model. Lineage: Bacteria; Bacillati; Actinomycetota; Actinomycetes; Micrococcales; Micrococcaceae. The record is from RNAcentral.